GAUGAACGCUGGCGGCGUGCCUAAUACAUGCAAGUCGAGCGAACAGACGAGGAGCUUGCUCCUCUGACGUUAGCGGCGGACGGGUGAGUAACACGUGGAUAACCUACCUAUAAGACUGGGAUAACUUCGGGAAACCGGAGCUAAUACCGGAUAAUAUAUUGAACCGCAUGGUUCAAUAGUGAAAGACGGUUUUGCUGUCACUUAUAGAUGGUUCCGCGCCGCAUUAGCUAGUUGGUAAGGUAACGGCUUACCAAGGCAACGAUGCGUAGCCGACCUGAGAGGGUGAUCGGCGACACUGGAACUGAGACACGGUCCAGAGUCCUACGGGAGGCAGCAGUAGGGAAUCUUCCGCAAUGGGCGAAAGCCUGACGGAGCAACGCCGCGUGAGUGAUGAAGGUCUUCGGAUCGUAAAGCUCUGUUAUUAGGGAAGAACAAAUGUGUAAGUAACUAUGCACGUCUUGACGGUACCUAAUCAGAAAGCCACGGCUAACUACGUG
Molecule: ribosomal RNA, 497 nt
Filed under: uncultured bacterium
Lineage: Bacteria
Description: partial 16S ribosomal RNA
Rfam family: Bacterial small subunit ribosomal RNA
Source: RNAcentral